AUACGGAGGAUCCGAGCGUUAUCCGGAUUUAUUGGGUUUAAAGGGUGCGCAGGCGGCCAUUUAAGUCAGCGGUUAAAUCGUGGGGCUCAACCCCAUUCUGCCGUUGAUACUGGGUGGCUUGAUUGCGGUCGAGGUUGGCGGAAUUCGUUGUGUAGCGGUGAAAUGCAUAGAUAUGACGAAGAACACCGAUUGCGUAGGCAGCCGACCAGAUCGCAAAUGACGCUCAUGCACGAAAGUGCGGGGAUCGAACAGGAUUAGAUACCCUGGUAGUCCGCACAGUAAACGAUGAAUACUUGUUUUCGGCGAUAUAAUGUCGGAGGCAAAGCGAAAGCGAUAAGUAUUCCACCUGGGGAGUACGCCGGCAACGGUGAAACUUAAAUGAAUUGGCGGGG
This 392-nucleotide ribosomal RNA is filed under the name uncultured bacterium. Its description in RNAcentral is "partial 16S ribosomal RNA". It matches the Rfam family "Bacterial small subunit ribosomal RNA", at positions 523 to 918 of the family's 1533-position model. The record is from RNAcentral.